Molecule: RNA transcript, 2201 nt
Organism: Nilaparvata lugens (brown planthopper)
Lineage: Eukaryota; Metazoa; Arthropoda; Insecta; Hemiptera; Delphacidae
Exons: 4
Source: RefSeq, a predicted model, not a curated record
UUUUAUCAGCUGCUGGAGAAUAGACGCGCCGAUUUGAAUUUAGUCGCAGCCUAGUCGGCCGUUGGAACAGACGGUUGAGAGGAGCAGAGCACCUCCUGGCAACAAAGAUCUACAAAGUCGUUCGACAAUUUACUAGUUUGUGUAGAAAAAGUGUACAUCGAUCAACAAAAUUCACACAUUUAAGAAGUGUACAUUAUUUGAAAAUUUGUCUUCGAAAAAUUAUCUUUGUGUACACAUUCUCCUCCGAUGUCUACAUCUUCAUCUAGUGAUUGCUGUCGAUUGAAGUUUGAAGUUCUACGAGCCAACUAAAUUCAUUCUUAUGCAGUGACGAUUGUUUGUUAUCUCAACUAGCGUUAAAUUGCAUAACGAUUGUAAAUAUAUUCUUUUGAAAAAUGGGUAGAUCGCGCGAGGGUACACCCAAACCAAAUAGUGAUACCGGUGAUAUUAUCUACACGGUGGAGUCUGCUGUCUCAAGUUCUUCAGCGGCUGAGAGGACUGUUUCACCCACCGAUAAGACGGAUUACAAGAUACGGUGGAAGAGGACUACCAAACACUAGGCGGUGGGAGCGAGGAGAGAGGCUGGUAUAUCCCCCGGCCAGCACUCUGUCGCAAUUCAACCACUUGCACCUGCCAGACUGCCCGGUCCAUUCAGACUGUCACUGACUGGCUGUCACCCACACCUUCUAGCAAUUCCAGCACACAGAGCGGCUCUUCAGGGUCCCUGUUGCUGACUGCAGCCAACCUGGCCGCACUGCGGAUAGAGACGACAUCUGCCGGACACCGUAGCGGCGGCAAGGACUUGGAUGCGGCGUCGGUGGCCUCCUCGACGCACUUCACCGUCGUCAACGGAAUGCCUCACUGCCGACGCAAGGCGCCCUCGCACGGCUUCUGCCGCAAGCACCAGCUCACCACCAUAGUCGUCACUACCUGCGGACUCUUCAUGAUCGCACUACUACUUGCCAUCUACUGGAUUGACCAGCGAGCGCAGAGUAUACAGCGACUAUCGUAAACCUAGGCCAGUAGUGAGAACAAGUCCAAGAAUACUCGCUGAAAGCAGUAUUACAACGGAGGUGAACUCCAAGUAUUUUAUAGUUAACAGACUGCAUAUGAAUUAUGUCAGUAAACUAUAAUUUAUUGUGAUAAAAAGGAAGUGAUAGAAUGAUUAUUUCAAAAGAGAUAGUCCAAUUAGUGAAAUGCUUUGUUAGAAACAAAAUCUAGAUGUAUAGUUUUUCAAUUUAAUAAUUUAAUUAAUAUAUUAUUUAAUCAAAAAUGCGAUAAAAGCAUGCAUUUUUGAGAUCUUAAGUGUCUAAUACAAGUAUUCAAGUGAAGAUGAAAUUUGAUUAAUUUUAUACGGCAUAGGAUAUUCCCUGACCGAGCACAAUUCCCAUACGAGUUUUGAAAACUUAUUCAAGUUGCUGAUUUUUGUAUAAAUACCAUCGUUAUUGGAGUUCUUGAAUCUUGAGUGUAGAAUUAAAUCGAAAUGUAUUUAAAAAUUAUUGAGUACUUUCAGUAGUUAACAGAAAUAUGUGAGUAGACCUUAUUAAUUUAAGAGCUUUGAUACGAGAAAUUUUUCUAUACGUUAUGUGUCGAUUGAUGUUGCUCCUGAAGGAAUUCCUUUCAUUUAAUGGAUUGAGGUUGAAAUAAUAAAUGAAUAAUUUAUAUGAAUUCAGACAAUGAUAUUCAUGAACGAUUUUAUUUUUGCAAUGCCUCAUGAAAUUGGAAAUGCAAGAACAUUGCACUCAUACUAGUGGAAGUAGCGUGCAUCAGUUCAUUUGAACCAUAAUAUUUAGCAGUAACUGGAAUUAGGCCCUAUCAAUUUCGACAAAAUGUAUAUUAACUCGUUGGUGAGAAAAGGAAAUAAGUGCCUGUGCCAAUAUUUAUUUAAUUUAUAAUAGACUAAAUGUUAAAAAAUACUCAGAAUAUGGUACUUAGUCUGUGAUGUUAAGAUUUGAAGAGAAGCAGAGCUGUAAACUUGAUGGUAUUAUUUUUAUAUUAUAUUUAUAAUAUGGUUAAACACUAUAAAGAUUUCAUGAUCGUGCAAAAGAAUUAUGUAAAAGCAGAAAUUGGAAUUCUGAGUGUGAAAAUGAUGAGAAUAGAUUAUUUGAAAAUUGAUUUGUAACAUUAUUAAUUGGAAGGCUUUAUUAUUUAUUUUGAAGUGUCAUACAUAUUUGUAAAUGAAUUAAAAUCGAUUCGAAGUGGUA